RNAcentral lists this ribosomal RNA (499 nucleotides) under uncultured Glomeromycotina. RNAcentral describes it as "partial small subunit ribosomal RNA". It matches the Rfam family "Eukaryotic small subunit ribosomal RNA", at positions 591 to 1092 of the family's 1831-position model. The record is from RNAcentral. Lineage: Eukaryota; Fungi; Glomeromycota.
CCAAUAGCGUAUAUUAAAGUUGUUGCAGUUAAAAAGCUCGUAGUUGAAUUUCGAGAUCAAUUUGUUGGUCGUGCCUUGGUACGUACUGGCAUUAUUGGUUUCUCCCUUCUGAAGAACCAUGAUGUUAUUAAUUUGGUGUCAUGGGGAAUCAGGACUGUUACUUUGAAAAAAUUAGAGUGUUUAAAGCAGGCUCGCGCUUGAAUACUUUAGCAUGGAAUAAUGAAAUAGGACGUUUAAUUCUAUUUUGUUGGUUUCUAGGAUUGACGUAAUGAUUAAUAGGGAUAGUUGGGGGCAUUAGUAUUCAAUUGUCAGAGGUGAAAUUCUUGGAUUUAUUGAAGACUAACUACUGCGAAAGCAUUUGCCAAGGAUGUUUUCAUUAAUCAAGAACGAAAGUUAGGGGAUCGAAGACGAUCAGAUACCGUCGUAGUCUUAACCAUAAACUAUGCCGACUAGGGAUCGGAUGAUGUUAAUUUUUUAAUGACUCAUUCGGCGCCUUACG